Long non-coding RNA from Clarias gariepinus (North African catfish), 407 nucleotides. RefSeq lists it as uncharacterized. The record is from RefSeq and is a predicted model, not a curated record. The transcript has 5 exons. Lineage: Eukaryota; Metazoa; Chordata; Actinopteri; Siluriformes; Clariidae.
GUGAUUAACGUCGCCUUAAAUUUCUUUUUGCAUAUUCUUAUAAACAAAUAUGGAUUAAAAAACAUCUUAUACCAUCGUUGAGGUAAAACCGUACAUAUGGGUUGAGAUCUGAAGACCGUCAAGACCCUUUGACUCAUAUUCAUCCUCAUUGGUGAACCCACAAGCCCUGUGGACAGUGUUCGAGUCAUCCUGGGAGAGACCCGCCCAUCUGGAUAUAAAUAUUUCACCACAGGACUAUGGUUCGAACAGGUUUCUAAUAAGCUCCCGAGCAGCACUGAAUUAGAAGCAGAGUUUCUGCGGGCAGCGUGUCGGUCUCCAGUUCUUCAGAGACGAGGUUGAACUCCCCUGCACUGCUGACAGAAUCCGGUUGCCUGGCUAAGAUGAAUGGCGAGUGUGUAAAGGAGUUG